This 253-nucleotide ribosomal RNA is filed under the name uncultured bacterium. RNAcentral's name for it is "partial 16S ribosomal RNA". It matches the Rfam family "Bacterial small subunit ribosomal RNA", at positions 524 to 776 of the family's 1533-position model. The record is from RNAcentral.
UACGAAGGGUGCAACCGUUGCUCGGAAUCAUUGGGCGUAAAGCGCACGUAGGCGGCCUGAUAAGUCGGAUGUGAAAUCCCACAGCUUAACUGUGGACGUGCAUUCGAAACUGCCAGGCUCGAGUAUGGAAGAGGGUCGCAGAAUUCCCGGUGUAGAGGUGAAAUUCGUAGAUAUCGGGAGGAACACCAGUGGCGAAGGCGGCGACCUGGACGGACACUGACGCUGAGACGCGAAAGCGUGGGGAGCAAACAGG